This 475-nucleotide ribosomal RNA is filed under the name uncultured bacterium. Its description in RNAcentral is "bacterial SSU rRNA". It matches the Rfam family "Bacterial small subunit ribosomal RNA", at positions 112 to 584 of the family's 1533-position model. The record is from RNAcentral.
AACGCGUAUCCAACCUUCCGCUUACUCGGGGAUAGCCUUUCGAAAGAAAGAUUAAUACCCGAUGGUAUCUUAAGCACGCAUGAGAUUAAGAUUAAAGAUUUAUCGGUAAGCGAUGGGGAUGCGUUCCAUUAGGCAGUUGGCGGGGUAACGGCCCACCAAACCUGCGAUGGAUAGGGGUUCUGAGAGGAAGGUCCCCCACAUUGGAACUGAGACACGGUCCAAACUCCUACGGGAGGCAGCAGUGAGGAAUAUUGGUCAAUGGGCGAGAGCCUGAACCAGCCAAGUAGCGUGAAGGAUGACGGCCCUACGGGUUGUAAACUUCUUUUGUGCGGGAAUAAAGGAACCUACGUGUAGGUUUUUGCAUGUACCGUAACGAAUAAGCAUCGGCUAACUCCGUGCCAGCAGCCGCGGUAAUACGGAGGAUGCGAGCGUUAUCCGGAUUUAUUGGGUUUAAAGGGAGCGUAAACGGGUUUUU